This is a small nucleolar RNA of Eublepharis macularius, 186 nucleotides long. RefSeq annotates it as small nucleolar RNA SNORA23. Lineage: Eukaryota; Metazoa; Chordata; Lepidosauria; Squamata; Eublepharidae. The record is from RefSeq and is a predicted model, not a curated record. The transcript has a single exon.
UUUCAGUUGCUUGCAUAGUUACUAAUUUAUGCCUAGUGGUAUGGUCCAUUUGCAUUCUGCAUUUAGGCAAUAACACAUGUGUACAACUUGUGGUCAAAAAGCAACUUGAGAUCAUAGUACUUAGUACUAAGUGAUGUUCCAAAGUAAGUUUUACCACUGACUAGCUUCUCAAAUUCUCCUCUUGAA